CACGGGGGGAGCAAGCGUUGUUCGGAAUCACUGGGCGUAAAGGGCGUGUAGGCGGUUCGGUAAGUGGGAUGUGAAAUGCCCCGGCUCACCCGGGGACCGGCAUCCCAAACUGCCAGACUUGAGUAUGGGAGAGGAUGAGGGAAUUCCUGGUGUAGCGGUGAAAUGCGUAGAUAUCAGGAGGAACACCGGUGGCGAAGGCGCUCAUCUGGCCCAAUACUGACGCUGAUGCGCGAAAGCUAGGGGAGCAAACAGG
Molecule: ribosomal RNA, 253 nt
Filed under: uncultured bacterium
Lineage: Bacteria
Description: partial 16S ribosomal RNA
Rfam family: Bacterial small subunit ribosomal RNA
Source: RNAcentral